RNAcentral lists this long non-coding RNA (1794 nucleotides) under Triticum aestivum (bread wheat). RNAcentral's name for it is "long non-coding RNA (TAES_LNC025978)". Lineage: Eukaryota; Viridiplantae; Streptophyta; Magnoliopsida; Poales; Poaceae. The record is from RNAcentral.
ACAAAUGAAAUCUUUUCAUUGGUGUCCGUUCCGGUCUAUGAAAAGACCAAAGGUUCCCAGGUAAAGUACAGAAAGUGAAGUAUACAUUACAAGCCAUAUAGCAACAAGAAAACUAAGAUUUGCAUCCACUGCUGCAAAUAGAUUGUUGUUGUGUAGACAUAAUCUGCUCGAAUUGCAUCUUCCAAACAAACAAAUUUGAAACCCACCCAGCAUCGAUCCAUCCAUCCUCUGGGCUUUCACAAAUGAAAGGCCAUCAUUACCAUGGACCAAUCAUUCCUCUUCAGAUUCAAAAGGAACCUUGUCCAAAAACAAAACAUUGGAAUAGGCAGUGCAAUUUCUUGACAUCAAUCAACUCCCCUCCCCUUGCAUGAUUAUUAACUCACUGCUUGUACAUCAUAGAGCAAGGCCCUAUGGCUAGCGCACAUCUUUCAAUUAGUUCCACCAGCACGGACAACAUCCACAUACUAAAACUGGUCCUUAUACAGGUAGACGCAUGAAUUAGCCUUUCCUUUCACGACUUUUUACAUGAACAAGCAGUUGUGCAAGCGCGUAACAACUUCAUGGUCUGCUCCGGCAAGAUCACCUGUUGAGCAACAAUAUCAUGAGUAAGUCAUGCAUAAUAUCCAUGUAAUUUGCAAACAACAGAUAUAAAUAUAUGCAUCUAGCUUGCUCAACAUGCAAAGCAAAGCACUCCAAUGGUUCACUACAUAUUCGUGCAGGCACAACAUAAUCCUACAUCAUUAAUCAUGGAUUGGCAGUACAACAUUGUUGCCAGAAUGGCAUGGUUACGGCUGGAACCAGGACAAAAGGCUCAUUUUUCUUAGUUCCACACACGUACUCACAACACCCGGAUGUACUAGCAUAUAAAACCAUCACGGCAGCCAGCGAAAAACCAUAACUUUCAUGUCCUUACACUAAGAACAUGAUACAGAGCAACAACACAUCAUGUCUGAUAGGAUCAUUGGCCGUGUCACGAAAAAUGAAAGCAUACACGAGUAGAACUUGUACUUCAGCCAUAGUGCAAGUCAACAUGUGCAUAGAAAAUUGGUUAGAAGCUGCAACAAAAAUACCGCACAAGCAAAAAGUUCAGACUUUUGCAUGCAGCCUCUCCACAACAGAUCAAACUUAUGAAGAAACAUGAAGCAGCAGUGUACAGGACAGAACAAGCUAAUCUCCAAGAAAAUGGAUUAGCCCAUAAAGAUAACUUCUAAGCAGAGCCAAAUGUUAAAAACUUGAGUGUGGAAAUGCAGAUUCUGCAUGGUUCAGGAAAGGGAUGACUCAAACAUACAUACACAUUAACAGGCCAAGAUCUAUCUAGGACUUCCAUUUGCACCCAACAAAAUCACAUUGCCAACCCUUAGAAGUUCGACAACACGCAAUUCUCCCGAGUUUUUCAGCCUCUUCCAAAAAUCAGAGGUACUAGCGACCGGAUAGUUAAACUUUGUGGACGUUCGCGGACAAGCAGACACCAUCCACUUGCGUCCCUACUGGUAGAGUUGAAGAACAUGCAUGAAGCUAAUUUAUAAGUUAGAGAUCACAAUUUGUAAUGAGAUGAGGAGCGGUCACCUGUAAUGUGGCAAAAUGUGCAUAUUCUUCACAAAGUUGUUAUUUAAAAUUCUAUAGAUGACAGGUCCAGUUGCUUAGGUUCAAAAUUUCAGAAGAGAACAGAUGAGAGCAAGAUCUGCUACUAAGAAAGAAGCCCAAUCUUUACCUAUUAAUAAAGCGGCUAUCGCUUCUGGUCGUCCGUCGUUAAAAUUACCCUCCAUGUUGGUAAAAAUUACCCACCAAUGCCAC